RNAcentral lists this ribosomal RNA (602 nucleotides) under uncultured bacterium. RNAcentral's name for it is "bacterial SSU rRNA". It matches the Rfam family "Bacterial small subunit ribosomal RNA", at positions 28 to 580 of the family's 1533-position model. The record is from RNAcentral.
GACGAACGCUGGCGGCGUGCCUAACACAUGCAAGUCAGGGGGAAAGCUGGCUUCGGCCAGUGCUUAACACAUGCAAGUCAAGGAGAAAGUUACCUUCGGGUGAUGAGUAAACUGGCGCACGGGUGAGUAAUAUAUAAGCAAUCUACCCAUAGGUUUGGAAUAACGACGAGAAAUCGGCGCUAAUACCAAAUGAUGCAGCGGCACCGCAUGGUGAUGUUGUUAAAGUUCAUGAAACGCCUAUGGAUGAGCUUGUAUCUGAUUAGCUAGUUGGUGAGGUAAUGGCUCACCAAGGCAACGAUCAGUAGCUGGUCUGAGAGGAUGAUCAGCCACAUUGGAACUGAGACACGGUCCAGACUCCUACGGGAGGCAGCAGUGAGGAAUAUUGGGCAAUGGGCGAAAGCCUGACCCAGCAACGCCGCGUGAAGGAUGAAGGUCGUAAGAUUGUAAACUUCUUUUAGAAGGGACGAAAAAACAGGUUGGAAGCCUGAAUUGACGGUACCUCUCUGAAUAAGCCCCGGCUAACUACGUGCCAGCAGCCGCGGUAAUACGUAGGGGGCAAGCGUUGUCCGGAUUUACUGGGUGUAAAGGGCGCGCAGGCGGGC